Molecule: transfer RNA, 85 nt
Organism: Felis catus (domestic cat)
Lineage: Eukaryota; Metazoa; Chordata; Mammalia; Carnivora; Felidae
Rfam family: tRNA
About the family: Transfer RNA (tRNA) molecules are approximately 80 nucleotides in length. Their secondary structure includes four short double-helical elements and three loops (D, anti-codon, and T loops).
Source: Rfam
GCCCGGGUGGCUUAGUUGGUUAAGCGCCAGACUUCAGCUCAGGUCAUGAUCUCACGGUUCGUGGGUUUGAGCCCCGUGUCGGGCU